This 369-nucleotide ribosomal RNA is filed under the name uncultured bacterium. RNAcentral's name for it is "bacterial SSU rRNA". It matches the Rfam family "Bacterial small subunit ribosomal RNA", at positions 144 to 507 of the family's 1533-position model. The record is from RNAcentral.
UAACGUAGCGAAAGUUACGCUAAUACCGCAUACGAUCUACGGAUGAAAGCGGGGGAUCGCAAGACCUCGCGCGAUUGGAGCGGCCGAUAUCAGAUUAGGUAGUUGGUGGGGUAAAGGCUCACCAAGCCAACGAUCUGUAGCUGGUCUGAGAGGACGACCAGCCACACUGGAACUGAGACACGGUCCAGACUCCUACGGGAGGCAGCAGUGGGGAAUUUUGGACAAUGGACGCAAGUCUGAUCCAGCCAUUCCGCGUGCAGGAUGAAGGCCCUCGGGUUGUAAACUGCUUUUGUUACGGAACGAAAAGGUCUCUCUUAAUACGAGGGGCUCAUGACGGUACCGUAAGAAUAAGCACCGGCUAACUACGUG